RNAcentral lists this ribosomal RNA (409 nucleotides) under uncultured Protaspa. RNAcentral's name for it is "partial small subunit ribosomal RNA". It matches the Rfam family "Eukaryotic small subunit ribosomal RNA", at positions 30 to 432 of the family's 1831-position model. Lineage: Eukaryota; Cercozoa; Thecofilosea; Cryomonadida. The record is from RNAcentral.
GCUUGUCUCAAAGAUUAAGCCAUGCAUGUCUAAGUACAAACAACUUUGUACUGUGAAACUGCGUACGGCUCAUUAAAUCAGUUAUUAUUUAUUUGAUGGUAUCUUACUACAUGGAUAACUGUAGUAAUUCUAGAGCUAAUACAUGCGUCAAGUCCCGACUUUCACGGAAGGGAUGUAUUUAUUAGAUAAAAAACCAAUGUGGGCCUCAAAAACCCGCUCUCGUGGUGACUCAUAGUAACUGUUCGAAUCGCACGGCUUGCCAGGCGAUAGUUCAUUCAAAUUUCUGCCCUAUCAGCUUUCGACGGUAGUGUAGUGGACUACCGUGGCGUUAACGGGUAACGGAGAAUUAGGGUUCGAUUCCGGAGAGGGAGCCUGAGAAAUGGCUACCACAUCCAAGGAAGGCAGCAGG